UUCUAGUGAUCCAAAGAUAACUGUACAUGGAAAGCCUCUUGGACCAGACUUUAUGCGAGUAUGGGUUGAUGUUGCUAUUGUACCAGAAUCUUACUUAUUUCGUCCUAAUCAUGCGAUGCUUACAAUACAAGAAGCAGUUGGUUCCACAGUUGCAUGGCCUUCUAAAAAGUUAUUCCAAGAGAUAUGACAAGCGAAGUAUAAAAGGAUACUUAAGACUCCUUGAAAGUAGUAACUUUGUUUAUUUCUUUGUGUUGAAAGUAGUAACUUUUAGACUCCUUGAAUACUUAAAGAAUAUUUUGUUGUUGAUGACAGUGUUGAAUGUUUUAAACUAAAUUGUGGAUUGUUAAUUCAA
Molecule: long non-coding RNA, 352 nt
Organism: Humulus lupulus (European hop)
Lineage: Eukaryota; Viridiplantae; Streptophyta; Magnoliopsida; Rosales; Cannabaceae
Exons: 2
Source: RefSeq, a predicted model, not a curated record